This 223-nucleotide unclassified non-coding RNA is filed under the name plant metagenome. Its description in RNAcentral is "partial contains small subunit ribosomal RNA, internal transcribed spacer 1, and 5.8S ribosomal RNA". The record is from RNAcentral.
UCUCCGUUGGUGAACCAGCGGAGGGGUCAUUACCGAGUUAUCAACUCCCAAACCCCUGUGAACAUACCCAACGUUGCUUCGGCGGGACCGCCCCGGCGCCCUCGGCGUCCCGGAACCAGGCGCCCGCCGGAGGACCCAAACUCUUGUUUAAACCAUAGUGGCAUAUUCUGAGUCUCACAAGAAAAAUGAAUCAAAACUUUCAACAACGGAUCUCUUGGCUCUG